This 89-nucleotide transfer RNA is filed under the name Caldivirga maquilingensis IC-167. It matches the Rfam family "tRNA". From Rfam's summary of the family: Transfer RNA (tRNA) molecules are approximately 80 nucleotides in length. Their secondary structure includes four short double-helical elements and three loops (D, anti-codon, and T loops). Lineage: Archaea; Thermoproteati; Thermoproteota; Thermoprotei; Thermoproteales; Thermoproteaceae. The record is from Rfam by way of RNAcentral.
GGGCCCGUAGCUUAGCCUGGUCAAAGCGCCCGGCUGAUAGCCCUGUGUUAGAGACCGGGAGAACGUGGGUUCGAAUCCCACCGGGCCCA